RNAcentral lists this ribosomal RNA (482 nucleotides) under uncultured bacterium. Its description in RNAcentral is "bacterial SSU rRNA". It matches the Rfam family "Bacterial small subunit ribosomal RNA", at positions 20 to 518 of the family's 1533-position model. The record is from RNAcentral.
UGGCUCAGGACGAACGCUGGCGGCGUGCUUAACACAUGCAAGUCGAGCGAUGAAGCUCCUUCGGGAGUGGAUUAGCGGCGGACGGGUGAGUAACACGUGGGUAACCUGCCUCAUAGAGGGGAAUAGCCUUUCGAAAGGAAGAUUAAUACCGCAUAAGAUUGUAGUACCGCAUGGUACAGCAAUUAAAGGAGUAAUCCGCUAUGAGAUGGACCCGCGUCGCAUUAGCUAGUUGGUGAGGUAACGGCUCACCAAGGCGACGAUGCGUAGCCGACCUGAGAGGGUGAUCGGCCACAUUGGGACUGAGACACGGCCCAGACUCCUACGGGAGGCAGCAGUGGGGAAUAUUGCACAAUGGGGGAAACCCUGAAUGCAGCAACGCCGCGUGAGUGAUGACGGCCUUCGGGUUGUAAAACUCUGUCUUUGGGGACGAUAAUAACGGUACCCAAGGAGGAAGCCACGGCUAACUACGUGCCAGCAGCGGC